GUGAGGAAUAUUGGACAAUGGGUUAGCGCCUGAUCCAGCCAUCCCGCGUGAAGGACGACGGCCCUAUGGGUUGUAAACUUCUUUUGUAUAGGGAUAAACCUACUCUCGUGAGAGUAGCUGAAGGUACUAUACGAAUAAGCACCGGCUAACUCCGUGCCAGCAGCCGCGGUAAUACGGAGGGUGCAAGCGUUAUCCGGAUUUAUUGGGUUUAAAGGGUCCGUAGGCGGAUCUGUAAGUCAGUGGUGAAAUCUCACAGCUUAACUGUGAAACUGCCAUUGAUACUGCAGGUCUUGAGUAAAUUUGAAGUGGCUGGAAUAAGUAGUGUAGCGGUGAAAUGCAUAGAUAUUACUUAGAACACCAAUUGCGAAGGCAGGUCACUAAGAUUUAACUGACGCUGAUGGACGAAAGCGUGGGGAGCGA
RNAcentral lists this ribosomal RNA (420 nucleotides) under uncultured Chryseobacterium sp. RNAcentral's name for it is "bacterial SSU rRNA". It matches the Rfam family "Bacterial small subunit ribosomal RNA", at positions 354 to 771 of the family's 1533-position model. Lineage: Bacteria; Pseudomonadati; Bacteroidota; Flavobacteriia; Flavobacteriales; Weeksellaceae. The record is from RNAcentral.